RNAcentral lists this ribosomal RNA (254 nucleotides) under uncultured bacterium. RNAcentral's name for it is "partial 16S ribosomal RNA". It matches the Rfam family "Bacterial small subunit ribosomal RNA", at positions 524 to 776 of the family's 1533-position model. The record is from RNAcentral.
UACGGGGGGAGCAAGCGUUGUUCGGAUUUACUGGGCGUAAAGGGCGCGUAGGCGGUCGUGACAAGUCACUUGUGAAAUCUCCGGGCUUAACUCGGAACGGUCAAGUGAUACUGUCGGACUAGAGUACAGAAGGGGCAACUGGAAUUCUCGGUGUAGCGGUGAAAUGCGUAGAUAUCGAGAGGAACACCCGUGGCGAAGGCGGCUCUCUGGUACGUGACUGACGCUGAGACGCGAAAGCGUGGGGAGCAAACAGG